This 254-nucleotide ribosomal RNA is filed under the name uncultured bacterium. Its description in RNAcentral is "partial 16S ribosomal RNA". It matches the Rfam family "Bacterial small subunit ribosomal RNA", at positions 524 to 776 of the family's 1533-position model. The record is from RNAcentral.
GACGAACCGUGCGAACGUUAUUCGGAAUCACUGGGCUUAAAGCGCGUGUAGGCGGAUGGGAACGUCGGUAGUUGAAAGCCCCCGGCUCAACCGGGGAAGUGGUGCCGAAACGACCCGCCUGGAGGGACGUAGGGGGACCUGGAACUUCCGGUGGAGCGGUGAAAUGCGUUGAGAUCGGAAGGAACGCCCGUGGCGAAAGCGAGGUCCUGGACGUCUACUGACGCUGAGACGCGAAAGCUAGGGGAGCAAACGGG